AUGUUUGAAUUAGAAUGUGAUGCUAGCGGCAUUGGUUUAGGCGGUGUUUUAUUGCAAGAAGGCAAACCGGUAGCAUAUUUUAGUGAAAAACUCAGUGGGCCUAGUUUUAAUUAUUCAACAUAUGAUAAAGAACUUUAUGCACUAGUUCGGACUUUGGAGACAUGGCAACAUUAUUUAUGGCCUAAGGAGUUUGUCAUACAUUCUAAUCAUGAAUCACUCAAGCAUAUUAGAAGUCAAAGCAAACUGAACCGUAGACAUGCAAAAUGGGUUGAAUUUAUUGUGUCUUUUCCUUAUGUUAUUAAGCACAAGAAAGGGAAGGAGAAUGUUAUUGCCGAUGCAUUGUCUAGGCGCUAUACCAUGUUAUCACAACUUGACUUCAAAAUUUUUGGACUUGAAACUAUAAAAGAGCAAUAUGCUAAUGAUGUCGAUCUUAAAAAUAUUUUGCUCAAUUGCAGAGAGGGUAGAACUUGGAACAAGUUCGUCGUUAAUGACGGAUUUGUUUUUCGUGCUAAUAAGCUAUGCAUCCCAGAUAGCUCUGUUCGUCUUUUGUUGUUACAGGAGGCACAUGGCAGAGGACCUAUGGGACAUUUCGGUGUUAAAAAGACAGAAGACAUCCUUGCUGGUCAUUUCUUCUGGCCAAAAAUGAGACGGGAUGUGGAGAGAUAUGUUGCACGCUGCACGACAUGCCAAAAAGCUAAGUCACGACUAAACCCACAUGGUUUAUAUAUGCCUCUUCCUGUUCCUAGCACUCCUUGGGAAGAUAUAUCUAUGGACUUUGUAUUAGGACUGCCUAGAACACGACGGGGAAGGGAUAGUAUAUUUGUUGUUGUCGAUAGAUUCUCUAAGAUGGCACAUUUUAUACCUUGUCAUAAAAGUGACGAUGCUACUCACAUUGCUGAUUUGUUCUUUCACGAAGUAGUUCAUUUCCAUGGUGUGCCAAAUACAAUUGUUUCUGAUCGUGACACAAAAUUUCUUAGCCACUUUUGGAGGGUGUUGUGGACAAAAUUGGGGACUAAGCUUUUAUUUAGUACUACAUGUCAUCCUCAAACAGAUGGUCAAACUGAAGUGGUUAAUCGAACAUUGUCUACUAUGCUUAGGGCUGUUUUGAAAAAGAACUUAAAAACGUGGGAAGAAUUUUUACCUCAUGUAGAGUUAGCUUAUAAUCGUUUAGUUCAUUCGACCACAAAGUUAUGCCCUUUUGAGAUUGUUUAUGGCUUUAUACCUCGUGCACCAAUUGAUUUAUUACCUAUUCCAUCUUCGGAGAAGGUACACCUUGAUGCUAAAGAACGUGCUGAAUUAGUAUUGAAAAUGCAUGAGACGACUAAGAAAAAUAUUGAACGCAUGAAUGCCAAGUAUAAACUUGCUGGUAGUCAGGGUAGGAAAAGUAUUGUGUUUGAACCAGGUGAUUUAGUAUGGUUACAUUUGCGAAAAGACCGCUUCCGUGAUUUACGAAAGUCAAAGUUAAUGCCUCGUGCGGAUGGACCUUUUAAGGUGAUAGAAAAAAUUAAUGAGAAUGCGUAUAAGCUUGAUUUGCCUGCAGAAUUUCGGGUUAGUCCCACAUUUAAUGUUGCAGAUUUAAAGCCUUAUUUGGGUGAGGACGAAGAAAUACCGUCGAGGACGACUUCGAUUCAAGAAGGGGGGAUGAUGAGGACAUCUCUGCCGCAGUUACACCUGUCGCCACUCCUACAUCAGUUAUGCCAUCUGAACCUAUAA
Molecule: ribosomal RNA, 1713 nt
Filed under: Triticum aestivum (bread wheat)
Lineage: Eukaryota; Viridiplantae; Streptophyta; Magnoliopsida; Poales; Poaceae
Description: partial small subunit ribosomal RNA
Source: RNAcentral